RNAcentral lists this unclassified non-coding RNA (253 nucleotides) under uncultured bacterium. Its description in RNAcentral is "contains 16S-23S intergenic spacer region". It matches the Rfam family "Bacterial small subunit ribosomal RNA", at positions 524 to 776 of the family's 1533-position model. The record is from RNAcentral.
UACGAAGGGUGCGAGCGUUAUUCGGAAUCAUUGGGCGUAAAGGGUGCGUAGACGGUAUAUUAAGUCUGUUGUUAAAUGCCUCGGCCUAACCGAGGAGUUGCGGUGGAAACUAAUAUGCUAGAGGGUGGAAGAGAGAAGUGGAAUUCUCGGAGUAGCGGUAAAAUGCGUAGAUCUCGAGAGGAACACCAAUGGCGAAGGCAACUUCUUGGUCCAUACCUGACGUUGAGGCACGAAAGCGUGGGGAGCAAACAGG